This 10330-nucleotide long non-coding RNA is filed under the name Olea europaea subsp. europaea. The record is from RNAcentral. Lineage: Eukaryota; Viridiplantae; Streptophyta; Magnoliopsida; Lamiales; Oleaceae.
UCACACUUCAGAAGCAUGUGCCCUAAUUUUUUUCUCUCUCUCUCUCGCUCUCCCUCAAGACGCUCAAUCCUCCGCCGCCAUUGAAUCGAUCUUCAAUAAUCCAUUUUUCCUUUUAACUUGCCAACUCCAAGUCUCCAAUCUUCCAUUAAGUUUGUGGUUCUACAGUGUAAGCUUUGUAAAGUUCGAUCUGUCCAGUUUAGGAAGAAAGGCAUUCCAUAUCUCAACACAUAUGAUGGAAGGACAAUUCGCUAUCCAGACCCACUCAUCAAAGCAAAUGACACAAUCAAACUCGACCUUGAGUCGAACAAAAUUGUUGAUUUUAUCAAGUUUGAUGUUGGCAAUGUUGUGAUGGUGACCGGUGGAAGGAACAGGGGACGUGUUGGAGUGAUCAAGAACCGUGAGAAGCAUAAGGGAAACUUCGAAACUAUCCACAUCCAGGAUGUUCUUGGGCACGAGUUUGUUACCCGUCUGGACAAUGUGUUCACUAUUGGAAAAGGUACAAAGCAAUGUGUUCACUAUUUAUUUACAGUUUUGACUUAUUUAUUACGUUCUCCAAAUUUUGUUUAAUUAAUUUGGAUAUUUGUGUGACCACUUUUAUUGAUUUUAGGUUUCGGUUCUCUACAGUUUUAGUUUGUUUAAUGUAAAUUUUUUUCCUCCAAUUUUUUACAACUCUCCCUACUUGGAAAGUAUCCAAAAAUCCUCCUUACUCUCUUUAUAUGAUUUCAACAAAUUACAACAGUAAUGAGACGGAUUUUUAACAAAUUGCAAUGUAAAGUUUACGUGCUAUUAAGUAUUAAGAUUUGAUUAUGUAAAGUUGUGGAGCAUCUUGCACUUUCAACACAUUUGAUAACAUCACCAAGGGGAUAAAAAGAAGAUCGUCUGAGGCUUUUUUUUUUUUUUUUUUUUUUGAUACCCAGGUGUCCUAAGAUUCGCCAGGCUAAAUCUUGGACCCCUAGCCACCAGCCCCUCAGUGACUAGCGGAGGUAAACCGCAUGUUGUGCCCUUGUUGGAUCCAGAGCCGGUCCUGUGUCUAAUAGGCCCUGAGGCGAACGAUGAAAAGUAGGCCCCCCAGCGACAAAAUUCAAAGGUGUAUAAUGCGACUCAUUGCUAACUUAAAAAACUAACAUUAAAACAACAACGAAAUAUAUCAUAGAAACGAUUUAUAUUAUAAACCAUCAAAUCAAAAAUUUCAAACAAUUAGUUAAAUACUAUUCGUCUUGCUGUUUUAGAGGCAAAAAUAUCAAUCAAAUCUGAAUAAUUUAACUGCUCAACCAUUUCUUUUUCUAUUGAUAACAUAGUCAAUCCGUUUAAUCUUUCUUGCGACAUAGUUGAUCGGAGAUAGGUCUUGAUCAACUUUAAUUUUGAGAAACUUCUUUCCGCAGAUGCAACUGUAACCGGUAUGGUUAACAAAAUUUGGUAAGCAGUAUAAGCAUUUGGAAAACAAACAUCCAAUGUCUUCAAAUAUUGUAGCACUUCAAUUGCUCUUGUUGCUUCACUUGGUAUAUAACAUCUCAAGACUUGUAACUCCGAACAUAAAUCAUCUUCACUAAUAUCCGAACGCCCAUUAUGUUGAAGAUAUUUCUCAAGAUUCAAACAAGAUUUCAACAAACUUGAAAAAGUUGUAUCCCUUAACCUCUUCAAACUAAACAAAAAUCCAAAUGUGUCAUCAUAUUGUUUGAAUUGUUCAAAUCGAGUCCUCAUAGAAGAUAGAGCUUGAUCAAUUAUAAAAAUAAAGUACUCAACUCUAAAAGAUUCUUCUGCUGAUUGUUUUACCUCAUCACUACCGCUUUCAUCAAAUUGUUUUUUUCUUCGAAUUAUGCGUUUUUCUGUAAAUACAGCUUCAAUUCCCAUUUCGCUUGCCUUUUUUGCCGCUUCAUCUUUGGCAAUAGCAAAUCCAAUUUCUCUAUAUUCUUCAAGAAAUGAAACAAGCCCUUGCAAGAGGUCGAUAGCAUGAUCAAUAUCCAUGGAUUCGGUUUAAAGAAAUUUACUCACAAUAUUGACCGCAUGCAACAAUCUGUACCAGAUUAUCAUGCCAAACAAAAACUCAAAAUUUUGAAGUUCAUGUGUUGCUAAUGACUCGGCUUCACUCUUCACUUUAGGUUCUUCAUUACUUUCUGCUAAAUCAAGUAAUGCAUCUCUUAUCUGUGCAGUUUGCUCCAUUAUAGGCUUCACACUUUCAACAUGACUUUUCCAACGUGUUUGUGACAAUGGCUUCACUGUCAACCCUUGUACAUUAUCUUUGAAAAUUUUCCAUCGCUUGGUAGAAGAGGAAAAUAAUGUGUAGAUGCGUUGUAUCACUCCGAAGAAGGAUACAGCUUUGGAACAACAGUUCACCAUAUCACAUAAUGCUAGAUUUAGACUAUGAGCGCCACAUGGAGUAUAGAAAGCUCGGGGAUUCAUUUCAUGGACCCUUCUUUGCACACCUUUGUGCUUCCCGCUCAUGUUAGAUCCGUUGUCAUACCCUUGCCCUCUAAUGUCAUCAAUAUCGAGAUCAAUUUUUAUCAAAGCCUUUUGAAGCUCGGUUGCAAGUCCAAGUCCUGUUGUGUCAUCUACCUUCAAGAAUUCUAGCCAAUGUUCUUGAACUGUAGGUAAGUUUGUCGAAUUAUCUACAAAUCGAACAAUUAAAGACAUUUGCUCCUCCUGACUUGCAUCUGGAGUACAAUCAAGUAUAACUGCGAAAUAUUUUGCAUCUUUAACUUUCUUGACGAUUGAACUUCUCACUUGAUUAGCCAACAACUGUAUCAACUCAUUUUGAAUUUUUUUGCCAAGAUAUGUAUAUUGAAUCUCUUUUGCUUUAGCUCGCCGAAUGUGCUCUUGCAUUAUUGGAUCAAAUUCACUAACCAUUUCAACCAUUUGUAAAAAUAGGCCAUUGUUCUCAACAUGUAGCCUCUCAUCAUCUCCUCGAAAUGGCAAUGUGUUUUUCGCAAGUCUUUUAACAAUAGCGAUUAUCCUUUUUAAUACAUGUCUCCAAUGUUCUCUUUUAGCAUCAAUCAACAAUUCAAUGCUUUUAUCAAUUGUAGUUUUUGAUCGAAACCUAUUUUCCAAUUCAAUUCAACUAGUCAUGCAACGUAAAUGCUCCUCAUUUCCUUCAUGACUUUUAACAGACCGAUGCAAAUUAUGCCAAUCUUUGAAUCCUUCAUUACCUAAUUGGCCAACUUUUGUCACAUUUAUUGGUGUUUUGAACAACUUGCAACAAAAGCAGAAGAUCCUGUCCAUAGACACUGAAUAUACUAGCCAUCUUCUAUCAACUGUUUUUCCAUUUGGUAGCAAUCGCUUAUAUUGUGAAGAAUCAAAAUGUCUAUUUGUAAAGUCGUUCGGAAACGAGAUGUCAUCAACUCUUUUUGGACCCCUUUCAACGAAGUAAUCCCUUGUUCUUUGAUCAAUAAUUUUCCAAUUCCCGGGAUCAUCCAAAUUUAGAGAAAAACAACCCUCUUCUUCCUUAUCAUCUUCUUCAUUAUUAGAGGCGGGCUUCAUCACUUCUUCUUCCUUAUCAUCUACUUCGUUAACAUCGGUAGGUUGACUCACUUCUUCAUCCUUAUCAUCCACUUCAUUAACAUAGGCAGGUUGAAUCUCUACUUCAUCCUCAGUCAACGCAUUCACAUUGUCACUUUUGAAGUACUUGUUAAUAUCCCCUGCUUGACUUUGAAUUAAUGCAAUUUCACUUCGUUUUCUUUUCCUCUUUUGAGCACCAGACUCGUAUUUAGGAGGCAUAGUAAUGUCCAGUGAGUAGCCUAAAAAACAAUUAUUAAAUAACUCAAUCAUUUCACAAUUAUAGUUUCCAAUAUAGUUACUACGUGCGUCUGUGCAAUUGUUCAUUCUACAAUAAGCAAUCAUAUAAGCCGACCAGGCUGCAAUUAUAUAAGUCAACCAGGCUUCAAACAUUUCCAAUCUCUUUAAUAACAACUUAGGGUAAGCUAUUGCUUACCUGAUAAGUGAAAUUUUGAUGAAAAUUAUGGAAUUACACCCUUAAGAAUGAUCCCGUUUUCUGAACCAGUGGUAAGCUGAUCUCAAUUUUUGAAUUCUGUCAACGAUGCUCUAGCAUAGCAAAAAGAAACAUGUAAGGAAAUAACAAGUAUAUGAUGGAUUAAAAUGAAAGAAAUAACAAGUAUUUGAUAAAUUAUAAAACUUCAAUUUAGUUAAAACAUGGAUGUUACUAGAUCAUAGUUAAAACAUGGAUGUUAUAGUGUGUAAUUUUAAUUUCAAGAUGAAUAGUUUCGGAGAUGAAAUUUAAUUCUGUCUAAUUAUAUCAAGGUUUGACUGUUUAAGGGAAAGUUAUUUAUAUCAUUGGAUUUGUUAAUAACAUUUCAAUACUGUAAUUCACGGUCUACCUCACUAGUCUAGUAUAGCAAGACGAGUGAGUCUUCUUAAAUAUGUAAUUGGAGAUGCCAAAUGCUGCUGAUUCGUUAAUAUGAGAGCAUCUUUUUGUUCAAUUAGCUCUUUUAAUAAAUGUUUAUUUCAGUAACAAUGGGAAUGGUAUGUUAUAGGGGUGCAAUGAGCUUAGGUUGUUAAACUUUCUAAUCAACUAGCAAAACAAGGUGUCAAUGGCAAAUAUAAGAAUUCACUUUCCCCCUUAGAUGAUGUUGAAAGGUUCAACUUCUUGUGAGGAAAAUAAAUUACUAGGAAGCAUGUUGUGCAAAAUUAAAAAAUAAUUGUUUGCUUCCAUUUCUACCUGAUAUGUUUUAAAUUUCCUAGAAAUCAUAUUGUAAAAAUUUAUUUUUUGCACCAACUUUCAUAAUUAGUCCAAGUCCAUCCUCCAACUUUCAUAAGCCUACAAAACUAGUCCUUCAAAUUAAAGAUACUUCCCUGUCCGUCCACCAUCUUUCUAAUACCUCCAAAUUCAUCCUUGGACUUUUUGCACCAAAAAUCAAGUCCUUUAUCUUCAAGGUACUACUAAGUCAAUCCUCUAUUGUUCAGAUAAUUCUAUAUCAACCCUCUUACCUUUAGAUAACACCAAAUAGGCACCAAACUUCAGAUACCACCAAAGCAGCUCCAACUUUCAAAUGCCAAUAAAUUAGUCCUUUCACUUUAUUAUACCUACAAAUAAGUUCUCAAACUUUAAGAUAUAUGCAUACUAGUCCUCCAGCUUUUAGUUUCCUCUAUAUUCAUCCUCCAACUUUCAGGUAUUAUAAAACCAGUUCUUGAACUUACAACAACUUCAUAUUCGUCCUCUAACUUUCUUAUACUAAUACAAAUUUGGAAGGCUGGCCUGCCUUUCAGCAAACUGAAAGCUACACGGGGCUCUAUACGUAGAUGCCUCAAACUUGCCAUUUCCCAAAUGGUAUCUGGUAAUACAACUUCUCCUUUUACUCCUUUCACAAAAAGAACCUCAAGGUUCACAAGAUUUGAUAUGGAUGACGGGAUAGAAUUCAUACCACCUCUAACUCCUAGGUACCUCAAAUGAACUAAAAACUCUAUUCCAGAAGGAAAAGAAUCACCAAAACUGACGCAGCUCCAAUCCAGCACUUUAAGAAGUUUCAAGCUGUAGGAAAUGGCUGAGAAAUCCCAAGGAUAGGUCCAAUCUGAAUACCUGUCAUCGGUAGCAAAAUACAGUAGAGUGCGGACUUGUUUGUUUAUUAGCUGGUUUCCACGCAAUAAUAUCAUUCCGGUUACAGUAAAUGGAUAGUCGAAUUUGCUGAGGAAGUUUAUAAAUAAAAGAAUGAACAUCAACAUCCCCAAAAUAAGGAGCAUAAAGCUCAUCAUACCCAUUUACCAGUAGCAAAAAGUUCUCUUGUUUGGCUUUCUCCAAGCACAAAUCAUGUAUUAAAUCAUGAAUAUGACAUACGGGACAAUCUCUGAGUAUACAAUCAAUCCUCCUACUCUUAUAUACCUCCUAACCGGUCCUCUAAAUUUUAGAUAAUUCUAUAUAAAUCCUUCAACUUAUAAAUUCCUCCAAAUCAAUCCUCCGUUAAUUUUCUAUUGUGGGUGAUUUGGUCAUUAAGUAUUUAAGUCUUGCUGUUUUUCACCCAAAAUGCAGAACCAAGUAAACCAAGCAAAAAUUGUAAAAUUCAGUAAUUGAAAAACGGCUCUAUUUAUUACAAUUACAACUUACAAGCUGACAAUGGAGACUGUGGAGUGCGGUGUCGCCGGUGUGGCCUGUGGUCUGUCUGUGGAGUGCGGACUGUGACUCUGUGAGGUGUGGCCUGUGCGGAGCGGACGGCGGAGUCGGGCUGACUUGCAGGCUGCGGAGGCGAGCAGCAAAGCCGGCGACAGAGGCAGAAGCAAAAGCCAGAAGAAGGGCCAACCGGCCAACCGCCAACGCAGAUUCGUGGUGGACAGUGGACUCACCUCACGUCACUCACCGUCUCACCGGACUGUGUCACUGCUCACUGUCACUGUGGAGAGGGGAGUGACGAACCGACGGUGUCACGGUGGAGAGCCAGGAGAGGGCAAUGACGGUCGCUCGUGAAAGUCGGAGGAGGUGAGACGAUAUGAAUUUUCAAUUUUCAGAUUUGGGAAUUUUGUUAAAUGGAUUGGAUUUGAUUUGGAUAAAUGGAUUGUUGGGUUGGGAUUUAUGGGUAAAUUGAUUGUUGGGUUGGGAUUGAUUUAGUUAUUGGGUUGGGCAUUUCGUUUGGGCCAAUUGAACUAAAAAAAAAAAAAAAAAUUAGAGCCAAAACGAGGCCCCCCGAGAUCUUGGGCCUGAGGCGGAGGCCUCAUUCGCCUCGGCCCAGGACCGGGCCUGGUUGGAUCAUAGGUUCCCACCCGAUUUUUACUCUUGGCCUAAAGAGAGCUUUCCUCCAUAGUAAUUGCGUCUGAGGCUUGGUUUAAUAUUAUAUAAAGUUGCUUUAAGAGGAGAUUGGAAUGAUGUUGAACCCGUUCUGAGAUCAGACAAAAGUACAGGUUGUCUUGGAUGACAGUAAGUGGAGAUAGGCCUCUUCACACAACUGCUCUCGCCAAGCAAAUUGCGAUUUGUCCCGAACCGACCAACCCAACCCAACCCGACCGACACAUGAUUGGGUUGGGUUGGGUUCCAACAUUUACAUGGGUUGUGUUGGGUUUGAUUUUGAACAAACCGACAAUGGUGGGUUGGGUUUGGGUUAAGACAAAAACCGACCCAACCCAACCCAACCCACGCCCACCCCUACUUUUAUAUAAAAGCAAUUUUAUCCUUCACCUUUUAGAAAAGAUUAAUUUGGUCAUCCAAUUAUUGGUCAAAAGCAAAUUCAUACUUCAGCUUUUUAAAAGUACAAUACGGUCAUCCGUCUAUUAGUCAAAUGCAAUUUCAUCCUUAUUUUUUUGAAAGUUCAAUUUGGCUAUCUAACUAUUGGCCAACAGCAAUUUCAUUGUUUAAAUUUCUGAAAAUUUAAUUUGGUCUUCCAACUAUACAUUAAAUGUAUUUUCAUCCUUCAACUAUUACUUUAACUUCUAUUUGGUCUUCUAUCUAAUUUUUAAAAUUAAUUUCAUCCUUCAACUUUUUGAAAAGUUCAAUUUGGUAUUCCAACUAUUAUUUAAAAUCAAUUACAUCCAUCAAUGUUUUCAAAUGUUUGGUCAUCCAACUAUUAGUUGAAAGUAAUCUGAUCCUUCAACUUUUUCAAAACUUCAAUUUUUUUAAUCUGACUAUAAUAUAAAGUCAAUUUCGUCUUUUAAACUUUUACUAAACUCAAAUUUGGUCAUCCAACUUUUUUUAACUUCAAUUUUCUUCCUUCAAAUUUCAUUAAAUUUGACUUUUGUCAUCCAACUAUACUUGAAUAUUAAUUUUAUCCAUCAACUAUAUGGAAAUCGAAUUUGGUCAUCCAAUUAUACUUGAAAUUCAAUUUGAUCAUCCAACUAUACUUUAACUUCAAUUUUAUCCUUCAAAUAUUUGGAAAAUUGAAUUUGGUCAUCCAAAUAUAAUUUAAAUUCAAUUUCAAGCGUAAACUUUUACUAAACUCGAAUUUUGUCAUCCAACUAUUUUUAACUUCCAUUUCAUCUUCCAACAUUUAAGAAAUACGAACUUGGUCAUCCAACUAAUUUUAAACAUCAAUUUCAACCUUCAACUAUUUUAUCCUUAAAAUUUAUUAAAACUCGAAUUUGGUCAUCCUUAAUACUUAAAUAUAAAUUUCAUCCUACAUCUAUUUUGAAAUUUAAAUAUGAAUUUCAUCCUACAGUUAUUUUGAAAUUUAAAUAUCAAUAUCAUCCUACAACUAUUUUAAAAUUCAAAUUUGGUCAUCCAUAUACUUUAAAUUCAAUUUUGUCUUUCAACUUUUAAGAAAUUCUAAUUUGAUCAACCAACAACUAUAAGUUAAAUUCAAUUUCAUCCUUAAACUUUUAUUAUAUUUUUAAUUUGGUCAUCCAACUAUUUUUCAAAAAACUUUUAUUAUAUUUUUAAUUUGGUCAUCCAACUAUCUUUUAACUUCAACUUCAUCCUCCAACUUUUAGGAAAUACAAAUUUGGUCAUCCAACUAUAUUUUAACUCCAAUUUCAUACUUCAACUUUCAUUAAAUUUCAAAAUUUUCAUCCAACUAUACUUGAAUAUCAAUUUUACACACAGCGAAUGCCAUCAAGAGUGCAGAUUUGCCUGCGGACAGAGUCAUCAAUCAAAUUCCUUUUUUUCUUUUUUUUGUCUUUUUUUUUUUCACUCAAAAUUUUAUCUUUCAAUCAGAAUAAUGACUGAGACCAAAAUUUAAGUCCAUGAUAUUUCACUCUUAGUCUUUGACAUCAUCAAGGAAAGAAUCAAAAGAUAUGCAUUCAAUUUGUUAAUGCAUUUAUCAUUCUCGAUGAAAUUCUGCAUUAGUAUCAAUAAUGGUAACCUGACUUCUUUAAAUGUCUAAAAAACAUAUAUUCAACGAAGAAUUUACAACGUAUUACGUUGACGUCAAUCUACAUUCGCACCAUGGCAUUGUCCGGUUCCCCUAGAAUCUCUUUAGAGUCUCGACGCAAAUGGUUAAAAAAAAAUAAAAAUAAAAAUUCAACGUGUAGAUUUUCGUACUCUUUUAAAAUACAUCCCAGUGUUAAAAUUAGAGGGAAAUUCUUGUCGGCGCAAGAGAAAAAAAGAAAUUGUGUGACACUUAAAAAUAUCUUUCUUUCAUCCUCCGUCUCCAAAAAAGACAUAAAUUUAAUGACGAGUCAUUUAUGAACAGACGCAUUCUUUCUGAACAGAUACAAAUACUCAAUGACAAUCCUUUUCAUCUUCUAUAAAUGGUCGAGAAGAUUUGGCCUUUUCCAUCAGUGUAUUAUAAUCAAUUCAAAAUACAUUUUCUUCAUUAUCUUCGCCGUAAUGGCCGCAAAUAAUAGGAUUUUGAUUGUCGCCCUUUUAAUGUGUGCAUUGGCUCUGAAAGCCAUGGCAGAAGGAGAUGAGGGAAAUAAAAAUGCACAUUGCACAGUAGAAUGCUAUUGGGAAUGCACAAAAAUCCAGAUUUUCACGCACAACAAAUGUGAGAGCGCGUGUAGACUCGUCUACGCGAGAAGAAAUGUGAGGAAAAUAUCAAAAGGCAAAGUCAAGUUCUUACCUCCAUGGGUGUAAUAGAACAGUCAACAUUUAUAUAUAACAUUUCAAUGCAUAAAUCAUCUGUUUGUUUUAUCUAUUAAUAUGAGAGAAAUCAAAGUUGGAUUUUUUAUAUUAAUGUACCAAUUCUUUGUGGAUUUUUUGGAGAUUUGAUAUGAGUAUGGUAUCUGCAAUCACAAAGUGAAUGUCCUUCUCUUCUUGAUACUGCAAUAUUUCAUUAUAUGUUACCAUCUUCUGUUUAAUCUAUGUUUUGUCAAUUAAAUAAAUAUCUCUGUCAAAGAACUCAAACAUGUUACCAUCUUUUGUUUAAUUUAGUUUUCUCUUCUUGAUAUUGAAAUAUUCAUUAUAUUAUUUCUCAUCUUCAGUUUUCUUCUCUCACUAAAUUUUCACAGUAGCCAAACUAAAUAAUUCUAAAUGACUGUCACCUCCAACCAUUCCAUCCAUUGCAAUUGGAAUUAUGGAUUUCCACCGUAAAUUUAGUUCCAAGGACACUUGAGCACAGUCGAACCAACCCAAGAGGAGAGGAAGAGGAAGGGGCAAUGAGCCUAUAAAUAAGCCAUAUUGCUCUUAUCACCAAGCUCACAGCCAUAGGACUAAUGACUGCACGUUGAGGCUGUAUCAUCAACAACUAACGGGCCAGUAUAAUAAUAGAAGAAAUGCACGUCGAGAUUGGAAAAACACAUCUCAAAGGAGGCGGGGGUGAAAGCCUUGGCAAGGGAAGACAAGGCGCACUAGGCAACGAAAUGAUGAAAAUAAUAGAAGAGGGGGAUAUUUAUAGUGUUAGACAAGAGAUGGUAUCCAUUGAAUGAGGACUUUGACUUCCUAGCUUGUAGCGCAUUUAAUGUUCUUAUAUAUAGCAGCCAUCCUAUUGACAAGACAAGACAUUUAUACUCAUUACAAAGGUCACCU